AACGAACGCUGGCGGCGCGCCUAAUACAUGCAAGUCGAGCGAGAAGACGUAGCAAUACGUUUGUAAAGCGGCGAACGGGUGAGGAAUACAUGGGUAACCUACCCUCGAGUGGGGAAGUAACUAGCCGAAAGGUUAGCUAAUACCGCGUACGCUCCUUGGACUUCGGUUCAGGGAGGAAAGACGAUACCGUGGGUAUCGCGCUCUUGGAUGGGCGUCAUGUCCUAUCAGCUUGUU
This 234-nucleotide ribosomal RNA is filed under the name uncultured bacterium. Its description in RNAcentral is "partial 16S ribosomal RNA". It matches the Rfam family "Bacterial small subunit ribosomal RNA", at positions 29 to 250 of the family's 1533-position model. The record is from RNAcentral.